This 62-nucleotide transfer RNA is filed under the name Dipodomys ordii (Ord's kangaroo rat). It matches the Rfam family "tRNA", at positions 6 to 65 of the family's 71-position model. From Rfam's summary of the family: Transfer RNA (tRNA) molecules are approximately 80 nucleotides in length. Their secondary structure includes four short double-helical elements and three loops (D, anti-codon, and T loops). The record is from Rfam by way of RNAcentral. Lineage: Eukaryota; Metazoa; Chordata; Mammalia; Rodentia; Heteromyidae.
UAUGGUUUAGUGGUAGAAUGCUUGCCUAGCAUGCAUGAAGCCCUGGGUUCAAUUCCUCAGUA